CAGCAGCCGCGGGAAUACAGAGGGUGCGAGCGUUAAUCGGAUUUACUGGGCGUAAAGCGUGCGUAGGAGGCUUCUUAAGUCGGAUGUGAAAUCCCUGAGCUUAACUUAGGAAUUGCAUUCGAUACUGGGAAGCUAGAGUAUGGGAGAGGAUGGUAGAAUUCCAGGUGUAGCGGUGAAAUGCGUAGAGAUCUGGAGGAAUACCGAUGGCGAAGGCAGCCAUCUGGCCUAAUACUGACGCUGAGGUACGAAAGCAUGGGGAGCAAACAGGAUUAGAUACCCCAGUAGUCCCUGUCUCUUAUAA
RNAcentral lists this ribosomal RNA (301 nucleotides) under uncultured bacterium. Its description in RNAcentral is "partial 16S ribosomal RNA". It matches the Rfam family "Bacterial small subunit ribosomal RNA", at positions 509 to 809 of the family's 1533-position model. The record is from RNAcentral.